Molecule: ribosomal RNA, 483 nt
Filed under: uncultured bacterium
Lineage: Bacteria
Description: partial 16S ribosomal RNA
Rfam family: Bacterial small subunit ribosomal RNA
Source: RNAcentral
AUUGAACGCUGGCGGCAGGCCUAACACAUGCAAGUCGAGCGGAUGAAGGGAGCUUGCUCCUGGAUUCAGCGGCGGACGGGUGAGUAAUGCCUAGGAAUCUGCCUGGUAGUGGGGGAUAACGUCCGGAAACGGGCGCUAAUACCGCAUACGUCCUGAGGGAGAAAGUGGGGGAUCUUCGGACCUCACGCUAUCAGAUGAGCCUAGGUCGGAUUAGCUAGUUGGUGGGGUAAAGGCCUACCAAGGCGACGAUCCGUAACUGGUCUGAGAGGAUGAUCAGUCACACUGGAAUUGGGAACCGGUCCAGACCCCCAGGGGGGGCAGGAGUGGGGAAUUUUGGACAAGGGGCGAAAGCCUGAACCAGCCAUGGCGGGGGGGUGAAGAAGGUCUUCGGAUUGUAAAGCACUUUAAGUUGGGAGGAAGGGCAGUAAGUUAAUCCCUUGCUGUUUUGACGUUACCAACAGAAUAAGCCCCGGCUAACUUCGU